This is a long non-coding RNA of Triticum urartu, 3428 nucleotides long. RefSeq lists it as uncharacterized. The record is from RefSeq and is a predicted model, not a curated record. Lineage: Eukaryota; Viridiplantae; Streptophyta; Magnoliopsida; Poales; Poaceae.
UCCCCCGUCAGCUCUUUUCUGGUCAGCUCUGUUCAUUUGAAUUGUAUAUUUGCGACCAUGGCUUGCCCCAAAUUUUGUUUGUCAGGUUGGUUGGCUGCUACCGUAUGAAACUGCCCACUUAGCGCUUCCCAACCUCUGAUAAUUACAGGUUGUAGGAACAUUUCUGGAAUCACAUGUAUAUCGAUCACUUCCAAAUGAAUUUGUCGUUAGUACUACAUUUUUUAUAGCAGUUGCUUCCAAGUGAAUUGUCGUUAGUAUUCCUAAUGUUGCUAGCGUCUUCUUCUCUGAAUUUACUUCUUAAAACCACCGCCCAAGAUAACAUCGACAUCAAUUUUGAUAUGUCUGACAUGUUUGAUCUUAUUUGACUGCAGGAGUGUAGUGCAAAACAAAAGUCUACUGACAUUGCUGGCUUGCAGCUGUAACUGGUUGUCUCUCAAGUUUUGAUUGCACAGUAGUACAAUUUAGUUUCUAUGAGGUUUCGAUUGCACAAUGGUCCAAUUUAGUCUCAUCUACCAUGAUUCAUUCUAGAGACCAUUUUUCAGGCUUUUAGCCUUAUUGUUGAGGCGUAAAAUACAUCAGCGUGGGCACGAUUUGUUCCCCUCCUGUAAUCUAAUCAUGAGCUAGCUAAUUUGUAAUCUAAUCAACCGUGCCAUGUGCGUGCGCCCUUAUCAAUCCUGGUUCAGAGAAUGCAUUGGGCUAUUUGUUUUGCUCAUUAACUUUUACCCAAAGUAAUAACUGGAUAACUUAACUUUGUGUGUUGUUGUAUGCUGAAGCUGACAUUCUGCAUAUCUGCAUGUUCCAUUUUAGAUGUACAAGAAAGCAGGAGAUGAGAAAGAAAAAAAGCUGCCCUCCAUUGUUCACUGCCUCUUCUCGAUCCACGAGACAUGGCUCCAGGUUUUUGUAAGAGGUCAAUGUACUGGCAGCUGCAGUCGCCAUCUACUCAUGAAGCUCCUUAGGUACUCGAGAUACGACGCGACGGUCUGUGUGCCCAAAUGGUAGGGCUUCGAGAAGAUACCUGGAGGUGAACAUGAGUACAUUGAAUAUUAGUGGACUUGGAUCAUCUUAUGGUCUGCCUAUACAUGUAACUUGAUCAUGGUAAGCUAGAUGUACCAGCACUGAUCACUUCCUUGACACUCAUCCUACACGUCUCCUUGUGAAAUAAUUGUUGGUGAUGUCCCUUGUUCAUAUUAUGUUCCUUGUAGAAAUUUUUGUUGCAAACUGAACAAGGAUAGAUGACAACAGGACAGGAACCAAAAUAUAUUGAUACCUAGCUUUGUUUUUGUUGAGUGACAUGUUUGAAUAGCAGCUUAAUUGGAAAAAUUUAACACAGUUGCAUGUGCAGUGCUUUUUAACCGACCAUAUUCUACUGAACGUCUGACUCCCCCUUAAGAUUUAGGUUGGAAAUAUACUGGAGUAAUAGUGGAAGCCACUUUUUGCUUUGGUGAUUUUGUGAAGUUCAGAUUUUGGUUUAUCACUAUUCAGACUAAUCUUUGUAACAAUUUCUUGAGAUCUGCCUACAGUACAUGAAUUUAGUAUCAGUUUACAUACUAUAUACACACAUGACAAGUUUUUUGUGGGGGAAAUUUAAUCCAGCAAAAGCAUUGUCAUUGUUAUUCCCUACAAGUUACUUGAAGAAGAAGAAAAAUGCCCUUUAGACAUUUUUAAGAAGCAAAACAAAUCUUUCUUUCUAUAAUUGCAGAAAUCCAUGGAAUCCUUGUGGUAGUUAUUUCUCCGGGUAUGGCAAAAGUCAUGGAGUAUUUACUAUUUGUACAUGUAAGUGCACACCCAAGUGCAUCGAUAUCAGUAGGCUUUCUGUAGUAUAACUAAUUUAACAUUCUGCGAAAUUCAUUUCUUGGUCUUUGCAUGACCACCUCUGCAUCAUACACAAAGUGCUCAGAAGAAUACAUCAUGCAGUGACUCCUAUAAGGAAGGAAUGGAACGAGUAUUGAUGUUUCACUUUUAUCUGUGUUUGUACUUUGCUUUGUCCUAGGAAAUCUGGCUAAUGAUCAUCACUUUUACAGCACACAUGACACAUCAUAAUGAAACUAUUCUCCUUUCUUCUAUUGAAGUCCAUGCAUAUCAUGACAUGCAUUGGAGGACUCAAAUUUCAUUUUUGUUAUUGUUUACAUUACUUCCUAAUUAAGUCCGCUAAACAUUUGUAAAACAGAAGCUUUCUGCAAGCAUUAUAUUUUCCGCCGAAUGUGCUAUUGUACAAAACAUUUUACUUCACAUGUGAGCAAAAUAUAAUGUACAUUAUGCCGAUUAACUUUCUUCCGAACUUUUGUAUCACCACAAGGGAGAUUGUGGUAGUGUAGUACCGAGGAAUUAAUCCUCAAAUUCUUCGGAUUUCUGGGAGUGGUGCACUGUAUUCUAUGGACUUCUGGGAAUUAAGCCCCAAAUUCUUGGGAGUUCCUCGCUAGAAUAUUCUAUGGUUGCAACAGUAUUUCUAUUGGGAUGCAGUUACAAUUAUCUCAAGGAUAAUGGCAUGCUAGAUUUUUUGAGUUCUGGGAGUGUUGUACAUAUGCACAUUCUUAUAAAGGUGCAUGUAAUCAAAUUCUGGCUUCCUUUUAUCUCUGCAUCUAUUGUCCAUAUUACUCAUAUAAAACUUUGAUGGUCAGUUUAUUUGCGCACAAAUGAAAUUCCAUAAUUUAAUAAUUUGAUCCUCUAUUAUAAUGCUACCAACUGUUAUUUUUCAUCAAACCAUAUGUUAUGCUUAAGCUGUCUGUUGCUUUUGUUGAUUACCAGCUUACAUAGAUUAGUACAAUAUAUUCUUAUAAGGUUAAGUGCCCUCCUUAGAUCUACGGGCUUUAGUAAUAGGUGCCACCACCAGUUUGAGUUCUCAUAUAUACGAUCUACGACAAUUUCAAAAGAUGAGUAAUUAGUUCAGAUCAUACUACUUCCCAUUACAGCUUUCUCUAUGUAUACUUGGAGAGCAGUGUGUGUUUUAUCUACAAUAUGCAUACCCCCAUUGCACCAUAGUUCCACUCCAGGAGAUGCUGAGAUAAACUGAAAAUGGAGGAAAAAUUGUCCGACUCUUCCUGCUAGCAGGUGGUACCCGCUAUGACUCCCAUGGGUGGGAUUACCGUGGCCGCCGCCGAGCCUUCAAAUUCAGAAGAUAACAAGCAGCCCAAAAUCUAAGAAGGAAGCUAAUUCAGUUCUUCCAAGAUUGCUAUUUUUAGGGAGGUUUUUGUUCCAACUUUGCAUUGACGACACCAUGUUCAUUUGGACAAUUUUUAUAUGUUCCUUUGAAGUUCACCCAAGAAAAUAAAAAAAUCUGAAAUCUUCAUCGGAUAUUUAAUUUGAUUCCAUUUUUACUAUACAAUAGACUAAAUAGGCCACACCCAUAUAUUCUCUAUGUAGAAGUUGUUCAUCCAAUUGAUUCCCAUUGAUUUGUAACUUUUUUUUGUACAAUUAUGAUUUCUUUGUGG